GGAGAGAGAGCAGAGCACGAGCAGCGCCGCGAGCGACACACAGGAGCGGGGCGGGAUGGCGAGCCUGACGGUGCCGCCGGUGCCUACGUGGCCCCGGCAGGACGCCAUCGACCUCCACAGGGCGUUCAAAGGUUUCGGCUGCGACAGCACGACGGUGAUCAACAUCCUCGCCCACCGCGACGCGGCGCAGCGCGCGCUGAUCCAGCAGGAGUACCGCGCCGUGUUCAACCAGGACCUCGCCCGCCGCAUCGCCUCCGAGCUCAGCGGCCACCACAAGCGCGCCAUGCUGCUGUGGCUCCUGGACCCGGCCUCCCGCGACGCCACCAUCCUGAAGCAGGCCCUCACCGGUGACGUCACCGACC
Molecule: long non-coding RNA, 362 nt
Filed under: Setaria italica (foxtail millet)
Lineage: Eukaryota; Viridiplantae; Streptophyta; Magnoliopsida; Poales; Poaceae
Description: long non-coding RNA (SITA_LNC004682)
Source: RNAcentral